UAUUGCAUUACACUGCACUAGUUGCCCG
Molecule: small RNA, 28 nt
Filed under: Bombyx mori (domestic silkworm)
Lineage: Eukaryota; Metazoa; Arthropoda; Insecta; Lepidoptera; Bombycidae
Description: ovarian small RNA-24229
Source: RNAcentral